Molecule: long non-coding RNA, 5351 nt
Organism: Carlito syrichta (Philippine tarsier)
Lineage: Eukaryota; Metazoa; Chordata; Mammalia; Primates; Tarsiidae
Exons: 3
Source: RefSeq, a predicted model, not a curated record
CAGGUGUGAAAAUGAAACCAAGUUCAAAACAGAAGACGUAUUUUGGGCUUACAAUUUCUGCCCCACUCCAUACUCCUGGACUGCACUUCUGGGCCUUAUUUUGUAUCUUGUUUUCUUUGCACCUGGAAUGGGACCAAUGCCUUGGACUGUGAAUUCUGAAAUAUAUCCCCUUUGGGCAAGAAGUACAGGAAAUGCUUGUUCAUCUGGAAUAAACUGGAUCUUCAAUGUUUUGGUUUCAUUGACGUUUUUACACACAGCAGAAUAUCUUACAUACUAUGGGGCCUUCUUCCUCUAUGCUGGAUUUGCUGCUGUGGGACUCCUUUUCAUCUAUGGCUGUCUUCCUGAGACCAAAGGGAAAAAACUAGAGGAAAUUGAAUCACUCUUUGACAACAGGCUAUGUACAUGUGGCACUUCAGAUUCUGAUGAAGGGAGAUAUAUUGAAUAUAUUCGGGUAAAGGGAAGUAACUAUCAUCUUUCUGACAAUGAUGCUUCUGAUGUGGAAUAAUUUUCAGCUGCUGAUAUAUUUAGUUAUUUAACAAACUUGGGGGAGAAGAACAGCAGUUGGUGACCUCACUGCCCUGCUUCUAAUCUGGUUCUUUCCACAGUCUAGAUUUUGAAUGACUUCAUAUUCUAGAAUAUCUGAUUAGGAAGAUGAUACAACCAUAAUGACAGGUUUUUUUUUCACAAGGAGAAAUAUAAAAUAUAUAUAUUUACAGAGAUUUUAAUCUAAUAAUUCUUGAGCAAAUGUGUGUAAUCCCUCCCUAAGAUAGUCUAAAAUGAAUAUUGUACCCAGUGACUUCAGUGGUAUCCUUUUUCCUAAGACCAUAUAUAAUUAUUAGUGGCAAUAGUCAGUGCUAAUCUAGCCAAAUUACAUAUGUAUGCUAUAUUUAUAAAGGAUUCUGGGAGUUGGUCCAAUGGUGUUCUAUGUCUAAACAUGGCCUAUUGGCCCUAAAUUUCCCUAAGGAGUAGUAGCUUAUCUGUGAUCAGCUGUUAGAAAGUAAAUUCCAUUUAGCUUUCAUCAGUAAACUCAAAAGUGCCUCCAACAAGGGCACAGCUGUCCUUAUCUCCUUGGAGUCCACAUUUUGGUUUCCCUUUCCAAUUCCAAUAUUUAGAAUUCUUCAGAGACUGACUCUGCCUAGGGUCUUAUGAACAUUAUUAAAAGCAGGUCUUUUGGGGGUUAUUUUUGUACAUGUUUUUUGCAUCAGUGAUUAGUAUACAUUUGCACAGAUAAGCUAGCAACUUUUGAGAAGUACAUUUUGUCAGAAAGAAGCAAAGACUUUUAUAAAUCCCUAAUUGGUGAGUCACUUAGGUAUACAAUUAUAAAUGCAAAGUAGUGCCAGAUAUUUAACUGUAUAUCAGGGUCAGUUUUGUUCAUGCCAAAAUCAUCACACCUUCCUCAUUGGCUCUGGAGUCUUACUAUUUUGUGCCUUCAUUUGUGUUAUAUAAAUAGCUGCAAGCAGACUAUUUUUCCCUUUUAAUCCAAUAAUUUCUGAAACAAAAAAGGAGGAAGGAAAUCAAUGGCAGAAAUAAUCCUGCUGUCAUUGAUGUUUGUUUAAUUAAAAUAAUGGGACUUUUUUUCUUAACUUUAUUAACUCUUCCUAAGGAAACUGUCACAUUUUUUUACUUAAUUGUACUUGUCUUUUUUUACUCUGAGCAUAAACUAGGUUUUAUUAUGCACACCUUUUAUCAUUUUCCCUGACAAUUUACCAAAAAAAAGGAAGAUGCAUAGAUUUGUCUCUGUGUUUUCUUUUUCUCAUUCUUGGCUUGAAUUUUUUUUCCUUCUUGUCUAAAAAUUGAGAUUUCCUAUUGGAACAGAUUAAUGGUUCUAAUAUAGCACGUCUAUAAGAAAUGCUGACUUACUGUAUUUCUACAAUGUCUUUCCAAAGUGUUGUUUUUUAUGGUAAUUCAUCACUGACUUCUUAAUUUUUGUUCUUUAUACAGCAUGUACAAAAUUACUUGCUAGUUCCAGUAAAAAUAUGAAUGAAUCUUCUGUGACCAUUUAGGAAUGUAUUAGUUUGAUGCAUUUUUAAAUGGCUCUAAAACAUCUAAAAAGACACAUAUUUGGAGAGAAAAGGUGGCUGUCUAAUUUUGUUCCUAUCACAAUUAUCAAGCUGAGAAUAUAGCCAAGGAGUUCAUUCCUUAAGUCAUGUGGGGUACAAUAUGUGCUUAAGGAGUCACGUUAGCACCCUAAAAAAAAAAUCCUUUAACCAAAAAAAAAGGUUUUCUCCCUUUGGUUGUCUCAUAUUGUUUUUAAAAGGUUACAGAGAGGGUUUUUUUCUUUGAAUUAGAUGCUUUGACAAUUGAUUUCUAAGAGGAUAUUAGUAUUGAUUGUUUUCCCCAGAAAAAUAGACAGUAUGUAAUAGAGAAAAUUGUUAUUUCAUUGAUAGUUCUUAUCCCAUAUUUUACACAGAUAAAGUGAAGUGGAAAAUGAGCUACUGUGUGGUACAAUCAAAAUAUAAUGGGGAGAAAAAAUAUUUAGACAAAGUGCUCUCUAAAAAUUUAUUUUUCUGAUUUAUCCAAAUAAUUGCCUCAAUUCUUCUUUUUAUUAUAUACAUAGCCUUAACUAUAUAUUUAUAUACUCAGCUGGGCUGAUGCACAGUUACUUUAUUAAAGGAGCAACUGGACUCUUAUUAUUUCCUAAAGCAGAACAUGGCCUGUUCUCCCUGACAUAAGAAAAUGAUGUUUUCAACUUUAUAUCCACAAAUGCACAUAGUAACAGGGAAAAUUAGCCACAGUUCUCCCCCCCAUUCCUCAGCCCCUUCUUUAAAGGACUAUUUAUUUAUAUAGUGAUAAAGAUAAUAUUCCUUAUCUUUGAAGUAUAAGAGAGAGGCACAAUAUAAAAAUUAUUUAUAACUUUUUAGAAACAAAUAACUUCUUGAAAAGGAACCUUAUACAAUUAGGGUAUUAUUUUUAGAUUUGGUGAACAUUUAUAGUAUAUUAAAAAUUAAAUGUUUAAAUUUUGGAGGUUUUUUUAUAUUAUGCAUCUUUUAAGUUCUCAGUAUAUUUGGCUACCACUAUCAACUUGAAAACAUUCCACUUGAAACAUCAACAAAUAUAUAUUUUGUAGGACAAUUUAUAUAUGAUGUGAUCUUACCUAUCAUAUUAAAACAGAAACAGAAACAGAUUAAGCAUCAUGCUUUCAACCAAAAUUAUAGGUUUCCUUCUAAACAUUCUGCAGAUUCAAUAGAGGUAUAGUAUGUUAUAGUGAAGAAAGUCCUGAUCCCUAUCAAGGCUUAGCUGGAUGGCUGAUCUGCACUAGACUUAAUACAUUAUUUCACCUGCAUAUUAAACACAUAAGGCUGAAUGUGAUGUCAAAAAGAUUUGCCGUUAAUGUUUUUCUUCGAUGUAAACAUUCUUAAUUAUUUUUAUUGUUGCACCUAACUUAGUCAGUCGUUACCCAAAAUAUGAUUAUAUUUAACAGCAGAAGAUUUAAAUAGUAAAAGGUAAUGUUUCUAUUUUAAAUUUUGUUCCCACCCAUAUGCAGUAGUUAGUUCCCUGAUUGAAAAUGCUAUGAAAAUACUGAGUGCUUUUUCAUAAUUUAUUUUAUCACUGAACCACAUUUUACUACAUAAGAGUCUAAAUAUCAUUUAGGUUGGUUAUUUACUCUAAAAUGGGAAAUCAGUUAAAUCAAGGAAUUUAUAAAAUUUUUACUGUAAUUUCAGUUAUCUGUUAUACAGAGGAAGGAUGAUCAGGAAAAAUAUGACAACUUACUCUUUUGCUUUUAAAUAGCAUAGUAAAAUUGAAAAUGUAUUAUAAUAACUCACAGAUCCAGAAGAGGGGUAGUAGAAAGACAUCUUAGAAAAUGCAAUCCAUACAUUUAUAUUUUAAAAGUCUACAACUUAAUGACACUAAUAUAGUUUAUAAAUUCUGUAAUAUAGUAGGGAGAGUUGGAGGAUUAAGUUUAUCUCAUCAGUUCAGUAGUUUAAAAAAUAAAAUUAAUGGGAUGUUUUGUUGUAAUCAGAUUUUUUACCAUUUCUCAAGUUAUAAAAUAUCAAAUUAUACUAAGUACCUAACAACUCAGUUGUUAUGGCAAGUUUUCAGUUACCAAAUUAACAUCUUUUCACUAACUAGGAAUAAAAGAAUUAGAUGAUAUACUAGACCAGGAGCAGAGAAUUCAUAACAUAUGCUUUUAUAGUAAAAUGUACUAAGUAAAAUUUACAGCUCAUAUGUAGCUGCUGCCAAUAAGAAGACUCAGAAUUGUUCCUGGAUUCAUUUUAGCAUCCUGCUUUCUGUCACUUUUAUCAAUCUUCCUAGUCUCAUGUAAUGUUAAGCUAAUUUGAUGAAAUGGUUCAGGUUGUAGCAGUGUAUAAUUUGUCAGUAUGUUCAGUUCUUCUAGGUGAGCAAUAUUGCUAUUUUCUAGAAAUAGCAUUCAUUUAAAAAUGCCAAACUGCUAAAUGCUACUAAGUCUUUCUUGUAUAUUGUCUAUUCAGAGAAGGAAAUUUUUGUAUGACAGUAAUCAUCAGAGAGGUGUUUUGUAAGAUUGUUGAUGUUCAGAAGUACAUGAAAGCAUUUUAUCCUUAUAAGUUUCCUGUGAGUGUAAAACAGUGUAAUUCCUGUAAAUCUUUACUUUAUAUGUAUAAAAUACAGUCUGUUGUACUUGAGUAAUUUGGUCUAUGAAAUUUUAAAUACUUUCAUUUAGCAGUAAUAUUUAGAUUUUUAUUUUAGACAGUUAAGUUCAUGCGUUUGAUUUCUGUCAUAUCAAUAUAAAUGAAAAAAAGAAGUGGACCAUGCAGCUAAUGAGUACUUAAAAUUAAAAAACAAUGUUUUGUAAAGUUUUAACAUUUUAGCAAAUUUAACAUCAUUCCAUCUCAUUUAAAGGUUAAAAAAGAUGAGUCUUUAGCCAAAGUAGAAAUUUACAUUCCACAUGUCCAAACUGUUUCCUGGCAGCCUUUGGACUAUAUCUCAGUUGAUGUGAUAGUAUCUUUUAUUUGUAAUAAACAUUCAAAUUUCUAUCUAGAAGCUUUAAUGUACAUCUAGACUAAAUUAAAACACAGUUUUAUGCUUUUAAAAUAUAUGUAUUUCAAACUAUAUAUUUUAAUUUCUGAGUGCAUGUUAUAUAGUAUUUAAUAAUUCACGUCUUGGUAAAUCAAUAUAAAUAUUUAUUCCCACAAGUGACAUAUCUCUUAAAAAUUAUGACUAUGUACCAUUUCCUUCAAAGUCAUCCUAGCCUAUGCUGUAUCAAAAGUAUUGUAUAUUUUAUGGAGAUUUAGUGAUAUACAUGUAAAUGUUUUUUAAGUUAUUUUAUUGAAGUUCAAUCUUUACAUAAAAUUAAAACCUUUUUUUAAAAAAGUGUCAGUGCCAGAACUGUAAAUGAAAAUAAUCAAAUAAAAGUUAAGAUAAUUCAUUACUCA